GUUAGCCUAUUCAACGACGUUUUUACACAAUAUCUGCUGUUUUACACAAGAUCUGCUGUAAAACAUGAAUAAUGGUGACUGGACCAGACAGUCUAUAUGUGACUCUGCUGAUUCUCUUCCACAGUUUAACCUCUGUGUCUGGUAACUACAGUCAUUGCUUCUGUCUGUGUGAAAGUGCUGUAAGGCAACAAAAGUGGAACACUUUGAAGGGGCGUGGUGGCUUUUGAUUCACACAAUGGCCUGUGAUAAGGUGAUUCUGAUUGAACGAAUUCAAGAAGAAGAAAUCCUUGUUGAAGGAGCAAAGCAACACUGGCUAUCCCUGAAAAGACAUGAGAGGGACUUGGACAGACUGUCUGACAGCAUCAUGGUAGAUGAAAACCCCUGGAAUCUUUCUGCAGAAGGGAUUCAAGGACUUCAAUGCUUGUUGCAGAAGAGACUUGCCCAGCUAAGGCCAAACUGUUAACACACCAGUAGAGAACCUGACCCUUGAAGACACACAGGAGAACAAUGAGUAUACCAGCUGCCAUGAGGAAGACCUUAAUGAUGCCAGCAGCACUGACAAGAGCUUUGAUGAAGCACACUAAAUCGUAUAGAUCCAGCGCAAGCGGUGUCUGCACAGGGUGUGUGGCGUCAUCAGGGACCCAUCCCAUCCACGCCACAAACUGUUUGCCCUCCUCCCAUCAGGCAGGCGGAAUAGGU
Long non-coding RNA from Esox lucius (northern pike), 699 nucleotides. RefSeq lists it as uncharacterized. NCBI's taxonomy places the organism in Eukaryota, Metazoa, Chordata, Actinopteri, Esociformes, Esocidae. The record is from RefSeq and is a predicted model, not a curated record. The transcript has 6 exons.